This 2370-nucleotide long non-coding RNA is filed under the name Sus scrofa (pig). RNAcentral describes it as "lncRNA (ENSSSCG00040004235.1)". Lineage: Eukaryota; Metazoa; Chordata; Mammalia; Artiodactyla; Suidae. The record is from RNAcentral.
CUGGUUUUGCAUGGAGAAGCAGAACAUGAUGAAGCAUUUUUCUCCCCCAUUUAAAGAUCCAGUCAUGUUCCAGUUUGCAGGGGCAGAAGGGCUGGUUUGCAGUUGGUGCUGGGAGGAUAGAGUUUCUUCCACAGAAUUAUCUCACUAAAUAACUCUCGCUAAAGCCUAACAAGACUUGUCAUCAAGCCCAUUUUCCGGAGGGAGAAACCGAGACUCCAAGAACUACAGAACCUAUUUCUGUGUCUCAAUACGUAGGCCGGCUCUCCGACUUGACGGAAUCGCUCUGGCAACAGCGCCCUCUAAAGGCGGAGGCGAGUAUGCCUGCGUAACAGUCGUGCCCCGUCCUUUGGCGCUGGAAAUGGCGGAGGGCUCCCUCUGGCUUCUGAGGAUUGUCCAGCGCGCCUCCGAGGUCCUGGAGAAGCCAGGAGCGCUGCCUACAACUCGGCCUUGACUUCCCCGCAGCCUUGGUCGCCGCAGCAUUGGGUCAGAGGCAUCCCUGGAGAUUGCAGAAAGUUAGCGGCGGCCCCUGUUGACGCAGCGAGUGACGGCCCGACAUACCCUGAUAGGCCACGGGGAGGGCCAGACGCAGAGCCUUGAAAGAAGGAGCUUGCGCUCUGGAAGGGGCGUGGCCAGCGCUCUUCCUCGAGGGCGGGGCUCUAGGGGAAGGGGCUCUUCUCUGGGAUAUUGUGCCACAAGCGAGGACACCCGUGCACCUAGCCCAGGGCCUGUGUCCUGGCGUCAGCGCAUCUGUGGGCAGCAACUUUACCCUCCCCAGACCUCAGUUUCUGCACCUGUAAGACGGAGGCUCUUCCACAACUGCAAAAAUCGGAGUUUCAUCCAGCAUUCUCAGAAUUCCUGUCUCCAGGCAGGCACUGAGGAAUCAGAGCUGCGUUCCUGUGGAGGCUCAGAGCUCUGAGAUCUCCUUCACUUGCUGCAUCAGUACUCCUGACACUGGAGAGUUCUGGAGGUUGGAGACCAGCCCCUUCCUGGUGGAACAGGCACCCUGUAGCCUGGGAUGUGACAGUCAUAUGACAGGGCCUGUAACAAGUAACAGUGGUAGCCCAAAUAUGUCGAGCACUUACUAUAUGCCUGGCUUUUCAUGAAGUCUGUCGCAUACGUUAUUUACACCCCCACCCGCACAGCCGUGUCUGGUGGUCCUGUUCUUGACAUCCUGUUUACUGAUGAGCCCAGAGUCACACAAUAGUAGCCAGUCCAAGGUCACCCAGCUAAUAAAUGGCUGAAGCAGUAGUCCACAGUCUCAUCCACUGUUCCGUACCAAAAAAAAAUGUUUAACCUGGAAGGGAGAUGGCAGAGGGGGAAAAUUACAAGAUCCUACCAGUGUUAAUCUAUACCUGGAGUUGAGCCCUUAGUAUGUGUUGGAUGCUGGCCUACACAUCAGCACCAUUUAUACUCCUGACAGUGACCUUAUACUAUAGGGUUGUUAUUUCCACUUCUGAGAGGUCAUCUCAUAUGUCUCUGGUCACACUGCUAGUACAAAACUGGAACUUUGAGUUUAAUGGAUGGUACACUCAGCCUGCCUGUAUAUCACUCUUAGGAAGACCCCACUCUUCUCUGAGCCUGUUUCCCGUUCUGCACAAUGAGAGGUUUGGACCAGAAGGCUCUGGACAUUGUUUCCUGAGCUCACAUUCUUUGAUUUUAGGAGCAUUGACAUGAUGUCCAGAGUCCUGGGUUUGUUCCUAAUUAUCUAUGACUUGGGAACGCCUCGGCCUAAUCCCUUGCAUCUCUGGGCCUCAGUUUCCCCCUUUGUAAAAUGUGGAGAUGAGAAAGUCUCAAUCACCAAGGGACCUUCUGGCUUUAAUAUUUUAUGACUGCAAAUGAAGAGACAAGCUGAGGUUCAGCAAAUUGUGCAUCCUCUGAGAAAUUCUAAUGAAUGUGAUUCUGCCACCUUGCUCAAAACAUUCCUGGUGCAAGGCUUCCAAGGACAGAUGCCCAUGUAGGUCAAGGGGAACAGCCACCUCCAGAUAAUCAGCAUUAACUGCUGGAGGAGGCUCACUCUCCUGAUGGUCCAAAAUCCACCCCUGUGGUCAGACCAGCUUAAGACUGAAUGCCAGCACUUCCCCCUGGGCACCUCAGAGAAGUGACCCUUUCUGUGCCUUAGUUUCUACAUCUGUAAAAUAGGGUGCUAACAGGACCAGCUUCAUUUGAGAUUUGAUGGAAAAACAUGUGCAAAAAGCCUAACAUGGACAUUCCCUGGUGGCUCAGUGGGUUAAGGACCUGGCAUUGUCACUGUCGUGGCACAGGUUUGAUUCCUGGCCCAGGAACUUCCUCAUGCCAAGGGUACAACCCCAAAAAAAAGCCUAACAUGCUACUUCUGGCUUAGGAAAACCCCCAAUAAAUACAACUGUUACC